This 267-nucleotide RNase P RNA is filed under the name Dysgonamonadaceae bacterium. RNAcentral describes it as "partial RNase P RNA component class A". It matches the Rfam family "Bacterial RNase P class A", at positions 1 to 259 of the family's 367-position model. Rfam says of the family: Ribonuclease P (RNase P) is a ubiquitous endoribonuclease, found in archaea, bacteria and eukarya as well as chloroplasts and mitochondria. Its best characterised activity is the generation of mature 5'-ends of tRNAs by cleaving the 5'-leader elements of precursor-tRNAs. Lineage: Bacteria; Pseudomonadati; Bacteroidota; Bacteroidia; Bacteroidales; Dysgonomonadaceae. The record is from RNAcentral.
GUAGUCAGUCGGUCUGUCGCUUUUUAGAAAUAAAGAGAGGAAAGUCCGGACAACACAGAGUACCUUAUUAUCUAACGGAUAGCUGUUUGUGAGAGCAGAGUUAAGUAGAAGAAAAUAACCGCCGGUUUUUCCGUUCUCUUGGAGUGGAUAAUCCGGUAAGGGUGAGAAGGUAAGGUAAGAGCUUACCGGUUCUUAUAGCAAUAUAGGAAGCCGUACAACUUAAGGGUUGCAAGGUCAUGUACACCGGCGCAUGUAGGGCUACUCGUC